RNAcentral lists this ribosomal RNA (497 nucleotides) under uncultured bacterium. RNAcentral describes it as "partial 16S ribosomal RNA". It matches the Rfam family "Bacterial small subunit ribosomal RNA", at positions 28 to 507 of the family's 1533-position model. The record is from RNAcentral.
GAUGAACGCUGGCGGCGUGCCUAAUACAUGCAAGUCGAGCGAACAGACGAGGAGCUUGCUCCUCUGACGUUAGCGGCGGACGGGUGAGUAACACGUGGAUAACCUACCUAUAAGACUGGGAUAACUUCGGGAAACCGGAGCUAAUACCGGAUAAUAUAUUGAACCGCAUGGUUCAAUAGUGAAAGACGGUUUUGCUGUCACUUAUAGAUGGAUCCGCGCCGCAUUAGCUAGUUGGUAAGGUAACGGCUUACCAAGGCGACGAUGCGUAGCCGACCUGAGAGGGUGAUCGGCCACCCUGGAACUGAGACACGGUCCAGACUCCUACGGGAGGCAGCAGUAGGGAAUCUUCCGCAAUGGGCGAAAGCCUGACGGAGCAACGCCGCGUGAGUGAUGAAGGUCUUCGGAUCGUAAAACUCUGUUAUUAGUGAAGAACAAAUGUGUAAGUAACUAUGCACGUCUUGACGGUACCUAAUCAGAAAGCCACGGCUAACUGCGUG